AAAAUGAAGAGACAUUCAUUUCCGCGCUCUUUUUCCGAGUGGCAACAUAAACUAUCAGCGACAGACACUAGCCGCUUAUAUAUAUAAAGAUAUAUUUGUUUUUAUAUUUAUGUAACACUUUCCUUACGGAAAUUAAAAGUUUUUUUUUUUUUUUUUUUUUUUUUUUUUUUAAAUUUUUUAUUGUGAAGUUAUGGUGUGAUGCAUACAGAAUUUUAAACUGUAGUAUAUUUGUUUUACCACAUUAUUUCCAAAAUGAUGAAUUUAAUAAAGCUUAAAAUUUAAAUUAUUUGUUAUUUCUGUGUUGAAAUGUAAUAGCUUUUUAUACAACCUUAGAUUAAAACAUACUUGUUUUCAACUAUCUAGAUGCUAGGCAGAGAAAAUUAAUGGCUUACAGAUUUUUUAGCAGUUUUUUAAUAUGUUCAUUUGCAGUUAUUUAUUUUGUUUCAGUUAAAUAUAUUGUUGAAAGACUCACUUUGUUAUCCUGUGUUACCUGCAUUCAGAAUCAGGAACUUGGACUUUAGAUGGUCUAGAUUUAAAUAGUCUUCAGUGUCACGUUUGUGGUAAAAUUCUAUCAAGAAGACAAACUUUGAAAAUACAUAUGCAAACCCAUAUGGAUUGUAGAAGCAUGUUUAAUUGUGAAUUUUGUCCUGCUGUCUUUAAAUGGAAAGAAAAUCUUACUCGCCAUGUUAGAAUUAAGCAUGCUUUGAUGUGGUUACAGAAACAGCAUGAGCUAUAAAAUGGCAACUCUUUUUUUUAAUACUUGGAUUGUACAGAAAUGAUUGACACAAUGGCUCUAACAACGAAACUAUUACACUAUGCAAAGGGAAAACAAGUGAAAUAGACACAAGGCUACAAUGAGCUAUUCAGAAUGCGGCCGCAAGCGAACAGUAUAAGUUAGCACUCGUCCAUUUCGCCGUCAUCAUUGAGAGCGUGGACAGCAAUGAUGGAAGGUGAUUAUCACGGUCAGCAUUGGACAUCGUAGUUCCUAUGGAUGGAAGGGAUACAGGAUAGUGAGAUCCAUCGUUGCAUGAUGUCUUUGGGCAGGAACAAAGCACCCUCAAGGUGUACCAUAUCCCAUUGGUUGGCCAAAUUCAGCAGUGGAGGGGAGACUGCAGCCAAAGGUGUCAGCUUUGGGAUGACCAGUAACAUCACAUACAGCAGCAAAUGUGGCAGCUGUGUCAUAUUUGAUCAUAGCGAACAGGCACAUAGCAUUCAACAAGAUGCUGGAAGAGCGCAUAACAUUCAACAAGAUGCUGGAAGAGCACAUAACAUUCAAGAAGAUGCUGGCUUGUGCAAGGAACAUUGGAGGUGACUGUACAUGGUGAUUUGGAGAUGACAGAUGUGUGUGCAAAAUAGAUGGAUCUUGGACCUCGGACUAUGCCUUGCUUGACAAGAUGAAGAACGCAGUCAGGGGCUAACAUGUUGAAUCUUCUGCCGAACUGUAUGCAACUGUCCAUUAGGUGGUGCACCAACGCCCCCCCAGACCGGUUUACCAAAGCCCUUCGGGACUUCACAGCCAGAUAGCAGAAGUAUAUUUGCAUGGGCGGGGAUUAUUUCUAACUGAUGUACUAUCAGUUUUGGGUUAAUAAAUUGUGUUCCGCUCUUUGGCAAAAUUUGUGUCAUUCAUUUCUGUACGACCCUAAAUGUUAGCUAAAUACGCUGUGAUACUCAACAUGGAAAAGAAAAAUUAUAUAUUUUACAAUCUGUUCUACCAUGUGUGAUAUAUUUUUGUGUUUGAGAAUAAGCUUAAUGCUAUUUCAGUGAGUUGAUAUGGAAAUGUUCUGUUUGUGGAAAGGACUUAGCUACAAAAUACUCUUUAGCUAGACAUGAGCGUCGACAUUUUGAAGAAACUCCUCAAUAUUCAUGUGAACUGUGUGGUUUACAUUUCUCAUGGAAAGAAAGCUUAAAUUUUCAUCUAAGAAGAAAACAUAAUGUAUCAAAAGGCCAAAUCUGAUAACUUCAGUGAAUAGAGGAUAAACCGAAAUCAACAUUGCUGAAUUUUCCACUGCCUUUAAAUCAUUCCUGAACAUUAUCAUCAUUGCUGUACCAAGAACAAUGUAAAUGUUUCUUCAGUUUGCUAAAUAAAAAGGAGCCACCUGUGGUUAAUUAGUGUACACAUUGGAUGGAAGAGAAACCUAAAAUCUGCAUUGCUGAACAGCAGUCUAGGAAAUGGGAGAUGGAACUUUGUUGUGCAAAAGAGCAACACUUUUUUGCUAAGAUGGCGGCGGCAUUUUAACUUUAUGGCUUGUCAGAAGUAGAGCUGUAAUAAAAUUAUAAGUACCCAUUGUAUUGUGGCUUAUUAUUAAUAAGCAGUAGUCCGUUUUCAUUCCAAAAAAAUGGUACCCAAAUUUUGCUGGUAGAUUUCUGGAUUCUGAGCUUGUGGGAUUGGAAGAGAUUCUCAAUGUUUCCACAUUAUGUUCUUUUAUUUCAUUUCUGGGUCAAAAUAGUGAAGCUAUAUUUCAUGUCUUGUCAGCAGCCAUAAAAAAAUUUUCUGCAUUUAUCAUGGAGAGUAGUUCUCAAGAAUGUUUAGUCCAGCAUUUCUUCAUUUAUGGCAUCAAUAUUCUUAAUAUCAUCUGCAUCACUUUUGACAUCCCCUGUAUUUCAUGCAGAAUUUUUCCACUGAUCCAUAUGUAGUGAAAAGCCAAUGAAAUCAAGUCAGGAAGUACAGCUGCGAUAUCUGUGGGCGAUUAUACACAAUGUCUAGCAACCUUAGCAGACAUCGUAAAACUCACCAAGGGGCAGCUUAUCAAUGUGGCAUUUGUGGUGUAACAUGUUCUCGAUCUGAUAACUUAAAAGUGCACAUGAAAAAUCUUCAUGGUGUUUUAUAAAUUAUUUACUUAAUAUUUUGUUCUUUAUUGCAAAUUAUGCGGUACAUAGGAUAUUUAUAAAAAAAAGACGUUACCAAUGUAAGAUCUGUAAUGUUCUUUUCACAAAGUCUUAUAAUCUGAAUAGACAUUUAAGGGAAAAACAUUUACUACGAACCACUUAUACAUGCAAGCUAUGCAACUUCCCUUGCAAAAGAAGAGACAGACUAAAAAUGCAUUUCAUGACAGUACAUUCAUCUUUUUGUGGUAAAGGGGAAAACCUUUGAAUAUCUUCUUGAGAUAUGUGAUUUAAGGGGCCUUAUUCUUUAUAAAGUGCAAUGUUGAUAUAUGUAUUCUUGUUUUUGUUGAAACAAAUAUUUUGUAUAAUGUCAUAUUCAAAGAGUGUUAUUACAGUUUUUAAAAGUUUUAAACUGAGACUUCUAAGAUUAGUAAUUUUUUUUAAUAUAAAAUUAUAAUUUUUUACCUUUUAGUACCAUUUUAAUGUACAUGUAAACUGAAUUUUAUAUCAAUAUUUUGUUUGUUUUUGAGAUUAAUAAAUACAAUUUGUGUAAAUACAAUCAUCCUUUAGUACUUGCAUCACUUAAAACAUAACUAAGUUAACAAAAUAACAGUUGUUUAUUAAUAUAACAACAAUAAUUAAAACAUAUAUUUAAUUGUAUUUCUAUGCUUCAUGUGGGUUCUUCUAAUUUUAAAAGUUGAAAAUUGAUUACUAUAUUUUUCAGUUGCUUCUUUUUUGAAUUUUGAAAGAAAAAAUAUGUGAUGUUUUCUGCUUUUAUUAAAUAGAAUAACUAAUAUCAGAAAAGGUAAAUAACUAGAAAUAAAAGCGUGUUUGUUGAGAACAUGGCUGAAUUCUUGAAAAAACCUUUACUGGGGAAAUGAUUCAUAUCUCAUUUGGCAAAGUGUAAUAUAUGAAGUAAGUUUGAUACUGUAACUUAUAAAUGUACCUCCAAGAUAUCAAAUAUAACACGUCUAAGAUAAUUCAAGUUAAACAUAUGUAUUACUGUGUGAAUUGGCAAUUUUCAAGUUAAUCCCAUCUUUUAAUCUCUCAGGCAUGACCAGCUUUAUCCAGUCGUGAAAUGUUUUAUCACUUCGUACAUAUUAGAUUAUAAUUUAAAUAUUUUGCUCUCUUACUUUCUUAAUAAUGUAAAUAUCAUCUUAAAAAUGGAAGUUAAUGAAAACAAAGACCAAAAUAAGUAAUUAUAAAAAUUUAGCUAAUAGAAGCUGUUUAAAUGCAGGUCUUCAUGAGCAGAUCAAAAAGCUGUACCAGUGAAGGUAUUUCUGAUCUAAGAGUAAGCUUUUUGUUUGCUUUUACCUGCUUUACAGCUUCAAAUUUGGGUUCAGUUUUUCUAAUUCAAGCGUUGCAUUAACAUCACAUUUAAUGAGUUACGUGAUAGAAUUCAAAAAUUGUACUACCUGUUGACAGACCAUUGGUGUGCAAAAACCUGAAGCCUUUCAGCUAGACCUCAACCAAAAUAAGGAGCUAACUUGCAUGUCAUAUUUAUUUGAAUUUAUAUGAUAUAACAUUUUUUCUAUCAGGCAUCAGCAUUACCAAAUUAUACUAUUAACAAUUAAUUCCUCAUUGAAAACAUGUUUGUUGUUAAUUUCCUGCUAGACAGUACAUGAUUGUAUGUUUCUUUCAAAGUAAGAGGACUGCUCAAAACAAAAUGAGACCUAUGCUGUACUUACUUUGUUGCUCAUUAUACAAAUUUUCAGUCGUAUAUUAUUUAUUUAUUAAUGUCCUGUAAUACUCUCAUUGCACUUUCCUGAAUUUCCUGAGUGAUUUUAAGUUUGGCAAAGAGAGAAUAAGGUGGAUGGCACAUAACAGAAGUGCAGUGUUUUGCCAAAUAAUUGGAUACAAAAGAGUGGUGCAUGAGAUGAAGCAUUGUCAUAUACAACAUCCACGAUUGAUUCCUUCACAGUUCAGAUCUCUUUCUACACAUGGCAUCUCUCAUUCAUGUUAGAAUUCUCUGGUAGAUUUCCUUGUUAACUGUCUGAGCACAUGGUACAAAUUCAUAGUGCACAAUAUCUUUCUAAUAGAAAAACACAAUAAUCACCCAGAUGUCUGAGUGACUCAUAUGUAUGUAUAUAUAUAUAUAUAUAUAUAUAUAUAUAUAUAUUUCUUUUUUUUUCUUUUUUUUUUUUUCUUCUGCGUAUCUACAUCUCAUCUCUUACAAUGUUCGUGAGAGAGUUGUAUAUUUUUGCAAACAGGGCGUGACAGAUUUCAACUGCUUCUGGUCAAAGUUUCCUUUCCUAAAUUUGUCCAUUGCUUAAGAUGUAAGCUGAACAAAAUUGUGGGAUGCAUAAUGCACCCACAGGGAUAAUGUGUAUUAUUGAAAAAUAAAAUUAUGUGUGGAUUUUA
Molecule: long non-coding RNA, 5184 nt
Filed under: Stegodyphus dumicola
Lineage: Eukaryota; Metazoa; Arthropoda; Arachnida; Araneae; Eresidae
Description: uncharacterized LOC118182400, transcript variant X3
Source: RNAcentral